RNAcentral lists this ribosomal RNA (248 nucleotides) under uncultured bacterium. Its description in RNAcentral is "partial 16S ribosomal RNA". It matches the Rfam family "Bacterial small subunit ribosomal RNA", at positions 112 to 353 of the family's 1533-position model. The record is from RNAcentral.
AACACGUAGGUAACCUGCCCAUGUGCCCGGGAUAACUUCUGGAAACGGAUGCUAAAACCGGAUAGGUAGCAGACAAGCAUUUGACUGCUAUUAAAGUGGCUAAGGCCAUGAACAUGGAUGGACCUGCGGUGCAUUAGCUAGUUGGUGAGGUAACGGCCCACCAAGGCGACGAUGCAUAGCCGGCCUGAGAGGGCGGACGGCCACAUUGGGACUGAGACACGGCCCAAACUCCUACGGGAGGCAGCAUG